UACGGGGGGAGCAAGCGUUGUUCGGAUUUACUGGGCGUAAAGGGCGCGUAGGCGGUCGUGACAAGUCACUUGUGAAAUCUCCGGGCUUAACUCGGAACGGUCAAGUGAUACUGUCGGACUAGAGUACAGAAGGGGCAACUGGAAUUCUCGGUGUAGCGGUGAAAUGCGUAGAUAUCGAGAGGAACACCGAUGGCGAAGGCAGCACUCUGGGACGGUACUGACGCUGAGACGCGAAAGCGUGGGGAGCGAACAGG
This 254-nucleotide ribosomal RNA is filed under the name uncultured bacterium. RNAcentral's name for it is "partial 16S ribosomal RNA". It matches the Rfam family "Bacterial small subunit ribosomal RNA", at positions 524 to 776 of the family's 1533-position model. The record is from RNAcentral.